UACGGGGGGGGCAAGCGUUGUUCGGAAUUACUGGGCGUAAAGGGCUCGUAGGCGGCCAACUAAGUCGGACGUGAAAUCCCCAGGCUCAACCUGGGAACUGCGUCCGAUACUGGAUGGCUUGAAUUCGGGAGAGGGAUGCAGAAUUCCAGGUGUAGCGGUGAAAUGCGUAGAUAUCUGGAGGAAUACCGGUGGCGAAGGCGGGAUCCUGGGCCAGUACUGACGCUGAGGAGCGAAAGCGUGGGGAGCAAACAGG
RNAcentral lists this ribosomal RNA (253 nucleotides) under uncultured bacterium. Its description in RNAcentral is "partial 16S ribosomal RNA". It matches the Rfam family "Bacterial small subunit ribosomal RNA", at positions 524 to 776 of the family's 1533-position model. The record is from RNAcentral.